AGAGUUCUUAGCCGCCUCCUUUGAAGAGUCUCGGCACCUGGAAUUCUACCUUAUAUGGACACAGAAGUUACUGAUGUCACAUGGACAGCGCCUGAAGUCCAGGGCGGGACAGUUGCUGCCUGUGGUCCAGUUCCUUCAGAAGGGCCUCCAGCGGCAUCUAGAUGACAUUUCCAAGCUGUAUGUACCUCGGGGUUGGUGGGCAGGGUCAGGUAGGGUUCAUGCAGUCAGUUAGCCCUGUGGUGUCUGAUCGGGGGCAGAAUAUUCUGGGGUCAGAGAUACACGUUCUGUCUGCUGGGUGGACUGAGUCCUGCCAUGGGUGCGAGGAUCCCCUCUGGGUGUGACUGACACUUGUUGAAGACAGCAUGUAACACUUGGAACAGGCAGAGAUGGGACGGACAUGCCUGAGGCAUAGUGAGAGCCCUUCACCCUGGGCAUGGACACAGGGUAGGACCAGGCAGCCUAGCCUGGAUUCUUGUGUCACAGUCUUGGGGCCAGGGAGCCUGAAUUCUAGGAUCUGCACUAUGAAUGUAGGCAUUUCCCUAGCAUGACAGUAAUACAGAAUAUAACUAGUGUUCUUGGGACGGCGCUAGUUAGAAUGACCCCAUGUGCAUCCCGUACCUCUUCCCCCUACAGCCUACUCUCAGGUAGUUUUUGGUGGUCUGUGACCCAUGUGUCCCUAUAUCAUCUGUCACUGAGCAGUUGCUACGUGUUCCAGCCAGGCGUAUAAUACGCGUGUCUGCUGGUCUCUCCAUACAGAGUCUCCAGGGGGAGGCUGGCACCUGGGCACUGUGACCCCCAUGGCCCCCCUGAUUAUCUUUAUAAAUGCUUCUCCAAGUCUAGAGCGAGCCCUUCCUCUUCGUGCCCUUUCCCUCCUAGACUUCUGCCUGGCUGCAGGAAGACUGGUGUUGGGGGCGGCUGUGCUAAGGCAUGGGUCUGCUUAGCAAGGCACAUGCGCCUAACCUUUCCCUGGCUGGUGCACCACAGCUCCCCAAGAGGUUGCU
This 1001-nucleotide long non-coding RNA is filed under the name Rattus norvegicus (Norway rat). RNAcentral describes it as "long non-coding RNA NONRATT017263". The record is from RNAcentral. Lineage: Eukaryota; Metazoa; Chordata; Mammalia; Rodentia; Muridae.